GACGAACGCUGGCGGCGUGCUUAACACAUGCAAGUCGAACGGAAAGGCCCUGCUUUUGUGGGGUGCUUGAGUGGCGAACGGGUGAGUAACACGUGAGUAACCUGCCCUUGACUUUGGGAUAACUUCAGGAAACUGGGGCUAAUACCGGAUAGGAGCUCCUGCUGCAUGGUGGGGGUUGGAAAGUUUCGGCGGUUGGGGAUGGACUCGCGGCUCAUCAGCUUGUUGGUGGGGUAGUGGCUUACCAAGGCUUUGACGGGUAGCCGGCCUGAGAGGGUGACCGGCCACAUUGGGGCUGAGAUACGGCCCAGACUCCUACGGGAGGCAGCAGUGGGGAAUAUUGCACAAUGGGCGGAAGCCUGAUGCAGCAACGCCGCGUGCGGGAUGACGGCCUUCGGGUUGUAAACCGCUUUCGCCUGUGACGAAGCGUGAGUGACGGUAAUGGGUAAAGAAGCACCGGCUAACUACGUG
This 468-nucleotide ribosomal RNA is filed under the name uncultured bacterium. Its description in RNAcentral is "partial 16S ribosomal RNA". It matches the Rfam family "Bacterial small subunit ribosomal RNA", at positions 28 to 507 of the family's 1533-position model. The record is from RNAcentral.